RNAcentral lists this ribosomal RNA (254 nucleotides) under uncultured bacterium. RNAcentral describes it as "partial 16S ribosomal RNA". It matches the Rfam family "Bacterial small subunit ribosomal RNA", at positions 524 to 776 of the family's 1533-position model. The record is from RNAcentral.
UACGUAGGGUGCGAGCGUUAAUCGGAAUUACUGGGCGUAAAGCGUGCGCAGGCGGUUCGUUGUGUCGGCGGUGAAAUCCCCGGGCUCAACCUGGGAAUGGCCGUUGAAACUGGCGAACUGGAGUGUGGCAGAGGGGGGUGGAAUUCCGCGUGUAGCAGUGAAAUGCGUAGAGAUGCGGAGGAACACCGAUGGCGAAGGCAGCCCCCUGGGCUGACACUGACGCUCAGGCACGAAAGCGUGGGGGAGCAAACAGG